RNAcentral lists this ribosomal RNA (253 nucleotides) under uncultured bacterium. Its description in RNAcentral is "partial 16S ribosomal RNA". It matches the Rfam family "Bacterial small subunit ribosomal RNA", at positions 524 to 776 of the family's 1533-position model. The record is from RNAcentral.
UACGUAGGGGGCAAGCGUUGUCCGGAAUCAUUGGGCGUAAAGCGCGUGUAGGCGGUUCGAUAAGUCUGCUGUGAAAGUCCAGGGCUCAACCCUGGAAAGCCGGUGGAUACUGUCGGACUAGAGUGCAGAAGGGGCAAUCGGAAUUCCUGGUGUAGCGGUGAAAUGCGCAGAUAUCAGGAAGAACACCUAUGGCGAAGGCAGCUCUCUGGGACGGUACUGACGCUGAGACGCGAAAGCGUGGGGAGCGAACAGG